ACCACCAAACCCCACAUCACACUGUCUUCAUAUUUUUUAUUCGACAGAACAAAAUCAUCAACAACAAAAAAACAACUAAAUUUAACCUUAAAAAUAUAAUAUUUUCACCUUUUUUUAAUUUUAAAUCCAAAAUUUAUCAGAUUCCUAGGUAUCAUUCCUUUUCCUUCUUCUUUCCUCUUUUCUUUUUUGUCUACAAAUUCACUUUCCCUUCUUAUUUAUUUAUUAUAUUAUAUUAUUUAUUUUAUUUUUAUUAUUAUCAUUGUUGUUGUUUUUCCAGUGUUUGGUUUUUCAUAUAA
This is a non-coding RNA of Vicia faba (fava bean), 296 nucleotides long. The record is from the annotation of a GenBank genome assembly. NCBI's taxonomy places the organism in Eukaryota, Viridiplantae, Streptophyta, Magnoliopsida, Fabales, Fabaceae.